RNAcentral lists this ribosomal RNA (487 nucleotides) under uncultured archaeon. Its description in RNAcentral is "bacterial SSU rRNA". It matches the Rfam family "Archaeal small subunit ribosomal RNA", at positions 390 to 879 of the family's 1478-position model. The record is from RNAcentral.
UUCCGUUAAGGAGAUCUUUUGGCACCUCUAAAAAUGGUGCAGAAUAAGGGGUGGGCAAGUCUGGUGUCAGCCGCCGCGGUAAUACCAGCACCCCGAGUGGUCGGGACGUUUAUUGGGCCUAAAGCAUCCGUAGCCGGUUCUACAAGUCUUCCGUUAAAUCCACCUGCUUAACGGAUGGGCUGCGGAAAAUACUAUAAAGCUAGGAGGCGGGAGAGGCAAGCGGUACUCGAUGGGUAGGGGUAAAAUCCGUUGAUCCAUUGAAAACCACCAGUGGCGAAGGCGGCUUGCCAAAACGCGCUCGACGGUGAGGGAUGAAAGCUGGGGGAGCAAACCGGAUUAAAUACCCGGGUAGUCCCAGCUGUAAACGAUGCAGACUCGGUGAUGAGUUGGCUUAUUGCUAACUCAGUGCCGCAGGGAAGCCGUUAAGUUUGCCGCCUGGGGAGUACGGUCGCAAAACUGAAACUUAAAGGAAUUGGCGGGGGAGCAC